This 198-nucleotide ribosomal RNA is filed under the name uncultured bacterium. RNAcentral describes it as "partial 16S ribosomal RNA". It matches the Rfam family "Bacterial small subunit ribosomal RNA", at positions 328 to 539 of the family's 1533-position model. The record is from RNAcentral.
ACGCUCGACACCUACUGGAGGCAGCAGUGGGGAAUAUUGCACAAUGGGGGAAACCCUGAUGCAGCGACGCCGCGUGAAGGAAGAAGUAUCUCGGUAUGUAAACUUCUAUCAGCAGGGAAGAAAAUGACGGUAUCUGACUAAGAAGCCCCGGCUAACUACGUGCUAGCAGCCGCGGUAAUCUGAGCGGGCUGGCAAGGC